AGUGAACGCUGGCGGUAGGCCUAACACAUGCAAGUCGAACGGCAGCACAGUAAGAGCUUGCUCUUACGGGUGGCGAGUGGCGGACGGGUGAGGAAUACAUCGGACUCUACUUUUUCGUGGGGGAUAACGUAGGGAAACUUACGCUCAUACCGCAUACGACCUACGGGUGAAAGCAGGGGAUCUUCGGACCUUGCGCGAUUGAAUGAGCCGAUGUCGGAUUAGCUAGUUGGCGGGGUAAUGGCCCACCAAGGCGACGAUCCGUAGCUGGUCUGAGAGGAUGAUCAGCCACACUGGAACUGAGACACGGUCCAGACUCCUACGGGAGGCAGCAGUGGGGAAUAUUGGACAAUGGGCGCAAGCCUGAUCCAGCCAUACCGCGUGGGUGAAGAAGGCCUUCGGGUUGUAAAGCCCUUUUGUUGGGAAAGAAAAGCAGCAGGUUAAUACCCCGCUGUUCUGACGGUACCCAAAGAAUAAGCACCGGCUAACUUCGUG
RNAcentral lists this ribosomal RNA (492 nucleotides) under uncultured bacterium. RNAcentral's name for it is "partial 16S ribosomal RNA". It matches the Rfam family "Bacterial small subunit ribosomal RNA", at positions 29 to 507 of the family's 1533-position model. The record is from RNAcentral.